This 544-nucleotide ribosomal RNA is filed under the name Escherichia coli. Its description in RNAcentral is "bacterial SSU rRNA". It matches the Rfam family "Bacterial small subunit ribosomal RNA", at positions 988 to 1532 of the family's 1533-position model. Lineage: Bacteria; Pseudomonadati; Pseudomonadota; Gammaproteobacteria; Enterobacterales; Enterobacteriaceae. The record is from RNAcentral.
CCACAGAACUUUCCAGAGAUGGAUUGGUGCCUUCGGGAACUGUGAGACAGGUGCUGCAUGGCUGUCGUCAGCUCGUGUUGUGAAAUGUUGGGUUAAGUCCCGCAACGAGCGCAACCCUUAUCCUUUGUUGCCAGCGGUCCGGCCGGGAACUCAAAGGAGACUGCCAGUGAUAAACUGGAGGAAGGUGGGGAUGACGUCAAGUCAUCAUGGCCCUUACGACCAGGGCUACACACGUGCUACAAUGGCGCAUACAAAGAGAAGCGACCUCGCGAGAGCAAGCGGACCUCAUAAAGUGCGUCGUAGUCCGGAUUGGAGUCUGCAACUCGACUCCAUGAAGUCGGAAUCGCUAGUAAUCGUGGAUCAGAAUGCCACGGUGAAUACGUUCCCGGGCCUUGUACACACCGCCCGUCACACCAUGGGAGUGGGUUGCAAAAGAAGUAGGUAGCUUAACCUUCGGGAGGGCGCUUACCACUUUGUGAUUCAUGACUGGGGUGAAGUCGUAACAAGGUAACCGUAGGGGAACCUGCGGUUGGAUCACCUCCUU